AAUAUUGGACAAUGGGGGCAACCCUGAUCCAGCCAUGCCGCGUGUGUGAAUAAGGUCUUCGGAUUGUAAAGCACUUUAAGUUGGGAAGAAGGGCUUUAGGUUAAUACCAUGAAGUUUUUACGUUACCAACAGAAUAAUCACCGGCUAAAUCUGUUCCAGCAGCCGCGGUAAUACAGAGGGUGCAAGCGUUAAUCGGAAUUACUGGGCGUAAAGCGCUCGUAGGUGGUUCAGUAAGAUGGGUGUGAAAUCCCCGGGCUUAACCUGGGAACUGCUUUCAUAACUGCUGAGCUAGAGUACGGUAGAGGGUAGUGGAAUUCCCUGUGCAGCGGUGAAAUGCGUAGAUAUAGGAAGGAACACCAGUGGCGAAGGCGACUACCUGGACUGAUACUGACACUGAGGUGCGAAAGCGUGGGGAGCAAAC
Molecule: ribosomal RNA, 421 nt
Filed under: uncultured bacterium
Lineage: Bacteria
Description: partial 16S ribosomal RNA
Rfam family: Bacterial small subunit ribosomal RNA
Source: RNAcentral